UGGGGAAUUUUGCACAAUGGGGGAAACCCUGAUGCAGCGACGCCGCGUGAUUUAGAAGGCCUUCGGGUUGUAAAAAUCUUUUCUAUGGGAAGAAAAUGACAGUACCAUAGGAAUAAGGACCGGCUAAUUACGUGCCAGCAGCCGCGGUAAUACGUAAGGUCCGAGCGUUGUCCGGAAUCAUUGGGCGUAAAGGGUACGUAGGCGGGUAAGCAAGUUAGAAGUGAAAUCCUGUAGCUCAACUACAGUAAGCUUUUAAAACUGCUCAUCUUGAGAUAUGGAAGGGAAAGUGGAAUUCCUAGUGUAGCGGUGAGAUGCGCAGAUAUUAGGAGGAAUACCGGUGGCGAAGGCGACUUUCUGGCCAUAAUCUGACGCUGAGGUACGAAAGCGUGGGUAGCAAACAGG
This 402-nucleotide ribosomal RNA is filed under the name Verrucomicrobiota bacterium. RNAcentral describes it as "Verrucomicrobia bacterium partial 16S ribosomal RNA". It matches the Rfam family "Bacterial small subunit ribosomal RNA", at positions 355 to 776 of the family's 1533-position model. The record is from RNAcentral. Lineage: Bacteria; Pseudomonadati; Verrucomicrobiota.